RNAcentral lists this ribosomal RNA (341 nucleotides) under Klebsiella pneumoniae. RNAcentral's name for it is "bacterial SSU rRNA". It matches the Rfam family "Bacterial small subunit ribosomal RNA", at positions 1203 to 1533 of the family's 1533-position model. The record is from RNAcentral. Lineage: Bacteria; Pseudomonadati; Pseudomonadota; Gammaproteobacteria; Enterobacterales; Enterobacteriaceae.
UACGACCAGGGCUACACACGUGCUACAAUGGCAUAUACAAAGAGAAGCGACCUCGCGAGAGCAAGCGGACCUCAUAAAGUAUGUCGUAGUCCGGAUUGGAGUCUGCAACUCGACUCCAUGAAGUCGGAAUCGCUAGUAAUCGUAGAUCAGAAUGCUACGGUGAAUACGUUCCCGGGCCUUGUACACACCGCCCGUCACACCAUGGGAGUGGGUUGCAAAAGAAGUAGGUAGCUUAACCUUCGGGAGGGCGCUUACCACUUUGUGAUUCAUGACUGGGGUGAAGUCGUAACAAGGUAACCGUAGGGGAACCUGCGGUUGGAUCACCUCCUUACCUUAAAGAA